Molecule: long non-coding RNA, 1003 nt
Organism: Clupea harengus (Atlantic herring)
Lineage: Eukaryota; Metazoa; Chordata; Actinopteri; Clupeiformes; Clupeidae
Source: Ensembl
GAGUGAGUGAGUGAGUGAGUGAGUGAGUGAGUGAGUGAGUGAGUGUGUGUGUGUUGCAUUCAGUGAAAAGGUCUGUUAUACUUGGUGCCCUUCAUGACGCGCGGUCAAGUGGUAGGCUAUCAGUGGUAAUAGUGGUCAAGUGGUAGGCGAUAAGUACUUUUAAUACAUUUUAAUACUUUUCACACAUACUUCUCGUGUCAGACUCUCUCUCACACUCUGAAACGUCUCCAUCUUUCCCUCAGCGAUUAUCCCAUAAAGGCCUGUUAUAAAUUUACAUUUAGUCAUUUAGCAGACGCUUUUAUCCAAAGCGACUUACAUAUGUGCGACUUACAAUGUAUACACAUUUUACAUUUACACUGAUGGCACACUGCACAUCAGGAGCAAUUAGGGGUUCAGUGUCUUGCUCAAGGACGCUUCGACAGGGAAUCGAACUAGCAACCUUCUGAUUACUAACCGACUUCUCUACCUCCUGUACCACUGUCGUUGGUGUACUCAUCGGCCCUUUGAGAAAUGUACCAUUUGAUGUAUGGCUGUUGGUCACUGGGAGUAGCAUGACCCUCAUGCACACACAUCAUGCACACGUGCACAACUCAACGCUGGGUGGUAUUUAUAACAUGCAAAUGACUGCAUAUAUUUACAUUUAGUCAUUUAGCAGACGCUUUUAUCCAAAGCGACUUACACAUGUAUACACAUUUUACAUUUACACUGAUGGCACACUGCACAUCAGGAGCAAUUAGGGGUUCAGUGUCUUGCUCAAGGACACUUCGACAGGGAAUCGAACUAGCAACCUUCUGAUUACUAACCGACUUCUUUACCUCCUGUACCACUGUCGCCUAUAGAUAGGUGUGCAGCGCACGGUUAUAUAAAUCAGAAGAUUCUCAGGCGUAUGUAGAGGUUUGUGUGAACAUGUUAAAUGACUUCACACACACAUGAAACAAUCCUGAGAGAAAUAAUGGGACAUGAAAAGCGCAAGCGAUUACUCUGAUAUCAAUGUAGUGAAUGA